UACAGAGGUGGCAAGCGUUGUUCGGAAUUACUGGGCGUAAAGGGCGCGUAGGCGGCCCUCUAAGUCUUGUGUGAAAUCCCUCGGCUCAACUGAGGAACUGCACGGGAUACUGGAGGGCUUGAGUUCGGGAGAGGGAAGCGGAAUUCCGGGUGUAGCGGUGAAAUGCGUAGAUAUCCGGAGGAACACCGGUGGCGAAGGCGGCUUCCUGGACCGAUUACUGACGCUGAGGCGCGAAAGCUAGGGGAGCAAACGGG
This 254-nucleotide ribosomal RNA is filed under the name uncultured prokaryote. RNAcentral's name for it is "partial 16S ribosomal RNA". It matches the Rfam family "Bacterial small subunit ribosomal RNA", at positions 524 to 776 of the family's 1533-position model. The record is from RNAcentral.